RNAcentral lists this transfer RNA (69 nucleotides) under Marmota marmota marmota (Alpine marmot). It matches the Rfam family "tRNA". Rfam says of the family: Transfer RNA (tRNA) molecules are approximately 80 nucleotides in length. Lineage: Eukaryota; Metazoa; Chordata; Mammalia; Rodentia; Sciuridae. RNAcentral also lists the same sequence under 1 other name. The record is from Rfam by way of RNAcentral.
GGUGUUGUAGCUCGGUGGUAGAACACUUGCCUCACAUGCAUGAGGCACAGGGUUUGAUCCUCAGCACCA